UGGGGAAUAUUGCACAAUGGGGGAAACCCGUGAUGCAAGCGACGCCGCGUGAAGGAAGAAGUAUCUCGGUAUGUAAACUUCUAUCAGCAGGGAAGAUAGUGACGGUACCUGACUAAGAAGCCCCGGCUAACUACGUGCC
RNAcentral lists this ribosomal RNA (139 nucleotides) under uncultured bacterium. RNAcentral's name for it is "partial 16S ribosomal RNA". It matches the Rfam family "Bacterial small subunit ribosomal RNA", at positions 355 to 509 of the family's 1533-position model. The record is from RNAcentral.